AACGAACGCUGGCGGCAUGCCUAACACAUGCGAGUCGAACGAGACCUUCGGGUCUAGUGGCGUACGGGUGCGUAACGCGUGGGAACCUGCCCUUAGGUUCGGAAUAACUCCCCGAAAGGGGUGCUAAUACCGGAUAAUGUCUUCGGACCAAAGAUUUAUCGCCUUUGGAUGGGCCCGCGUUGGAUUAGCUAGUUGGUAGGGUAAAAGCCUACCAAGGCGACGAUCCAUAGCUGGUCUGAGAGGAUGAUCAGCCACACUGGGACUGAGACACGGCCCAGACUCCUACGGGAGGCAGCAGUGGGGAAUAUUAGACAAUGAGCGAAAGCCUGAUCCAGCAAUGCCGCGUGAGUGAUGAAGGCCUUAGGGUUGUAAAGCUCUUUUACCCGGGAUGAUAAUGACAGUACCGGGAGAAUAAGCACCGGCUAACUCCGUG
RNAcentral lists this ribosomal RNA (433 nucleotides) under uncultured bacterium. RNAcentral describes it as "partial 16S ribosomal RNA". It matches the Rfam family "Bacterial small subunit ribosomal RNA", at positions 29 to 507 of the family's 1533-position model. The record is from RNAcentral.